ACGGAGGAUGCAAGCGUUAUCCGGAUUUAUUGGGUUUAAAGGGUGCGUAGGCGGGAUGUUAAGUCAGUGGUGAAAGUUUGCCGCUUAACGGUAAAAUUGCCAUUGAAACUGACAUUCUUGAGAGUAUUCGGGGCAACUGGAAUGUGUAAUGUAGCGGUGAAAUGCAUAGAUAUUACACAGAACACCAAUCGCGUAGGCAGGUUGCCAGGUUACAUCUGACGCUGAGGCACGAAAGCGUGGGGAUCAAACAG
Molecule: ribosomal RNA, 251 nt
Filed under: uncultured prokaryote
Description: partial 16S rRNA
Rfam family: Bacterial small subunit ribosomal RNA
Source: RNAcentral